RNAcentral lists this long non-coding RNA (3475 nucleotides) under Homo sapiens (human). RNAcentral's name for it is "HSALNT0372445". Lineage: Eukaryota; Metazoa; Chordata; Mammalia; Primates; Hominidae. The record is from RNAcentral.
AGACAUAGUGCCACUGUCAUCCCUGCUGGAGAAGGUCCGAAGCACCUCCACCUCUGUGCUUCCAGAGGGGCACUGUGGUGGCCACUUAAAAUGCUCAGGCUAUACCAUGCACUAGAGCAUCUACCUGGGCAAGGGAUAUGCUGUAUGACACUCUCCUGAUGCUGGGCAUGGCUGUGAGCCAAAGCACCCAGGCAGCCCUGCCAUCAGAAGGGUAAACCACGGACACCUGAUGCCUUCCUGAAGGAAGAGCACUACGCCUGCCAAACCAUCAAGCGUUGAUGCUCCAGCGCCUUCUACCCGUGGUUCUCCAGCCUCAGCAGAAGAGAGAGAAAUUGAUGACCCUGUCGUUGUAGCAUCCCCAUCACCCAGCAAUUAAUUUUAGUUCAAUGCUUCAAACGCUCUUCAGGCGCAGUGUGCGUUCAGCUGUGUCAGCUAAUGCAAAUGGGGGAUCUCAGAAGUCUUAAUGAAGUAACUAUCCCUGAACACUGGGAUCAAUACUCAGCAUCCAGCUGUCAAAUCAACACCAAGGUCUAUACCUAACUGGAGACACUGAGAAGAAGAAUCAGGGAUGAAUGCAAGAAGCGUUUCACUCGUCGCCCAGCCUAGAGUGCAAUGGCGCUAUUUCGGCUCAUUAUAACCUCCGCCUCCCGGGUUCAAGCAAUUCUUCUGCUUCAGCGUCCCAAGUAGCUGGGAUUACAGGUGAGCACCAUCAUGCCUGGCUAAUUUUGUAUUUUUAGUGGAGAUGGGGUUUCACCAUACUGGCCAGGCCGGUUUCAAACUCCUGACCUCAGGCGAUCCGCCCUCCUUGGCCUCCCAAAGUGCUGGGAUUACAGGGAUGAGCCACCACCGCGCCCGGCCUUGAUGUACUUUUUCUAUUAAAUGAUCUAAGAACAAUUUUACGGGCAGAAAGUAUGACUGUAAUAAAUGUAUGCAAUCCAAAACUACCACCCACCAUCUAUGAAAAUACAAAAAUCAAGCUGUCAUGCCAAAUCUAACUGGUUACUUCUGUUUCUCUGCUAAUAGUCGUUAGCUACACUCAUUUAUUUGUUUUAUUGUGACAGUGUCCACUGUCAGAUAAGUAAGAGCAGGUGCUGAAAUUUUAAGAAACAUUUGAGGGAACAUUUUCAAUGGAAUCUGUUGAAGUUGAGGUGCCUUUAGUACACUAGUAUAACUGCAUCACCCCUGAGUGUUAGCGAUAAGUGCAAUGAUUUAAUUUUACUGUGGAACUCCCAAGUCCAGCUUAUGGAAUAAAUUCCGGAUCAUAGUUUGAGAACUACUGGCUUAAAGGGUCCCAUUUCUUGCUUCUUUAAGUGUCAAACAGUGACUGUGAGAUAUAUAUAUAUAUAUAUAUAUAUAUUCCUGGCCCAAGUGAUGGGCAAGCUUCAAAGCAGUUGAGGACUCCAGUCAAAACUAACUGUGCCCCCUGAGUGUUCUAGCUCUGAGGAUUUGGUCCCUGGCUUCUUCCUUCAAUCUGCACCAUCAAGAAGCAUUCUUGGCCAGGUGCAGUGCCUCACACCUGUAAUCCCAGCACUUUGGGAGGCCGAAGUGGGUGGGUCACUUGAGGUCAGGAGUUUGAGACCAGCCUGGCCAACAUGGUGAAACCUCAUCUCUAACUAAAAAUACCAAAAUUAGCUGGGAGUGAUGGCCUAUGCCUGUAAUCCCAGCUACUCAGGAGGCUGAGGCACAAGAACUGCUUGAACCUGGUAAGAGGAGGUUGCAGUGAGCCGAGAUCAUACCACUGCACUCCAGCCUGGCCAACUGAACGAGACUCUGUCUCAGAGAAAGAAAAAAAGAAAAAAAAUCUUCUAGGCUCUGCACAUAGGCCAUGUGCUAAAAUCAGCAUUCCAAGGGCCAGAAGGACUCCUAGAGGCAUCUUUCAGAUGCUGACACUAGUUCAGAGCCUCACAGAUAGCUCCAGUUUCUGCCUAAGUACCUUCAGGGACUGGGAGCUCACUACUUCCCCCAAAAAAGGUUCUUAUGAACCAUCAUCUCCUAUCUCCACCCUCUAAAACCACCCAGUUCUUAACUUCUGCUUUGUUUUUGCUAUCAGCACUCUCUGCCUUGUAUUGUUGUUAUUUGGAUACUUAACUGUCACACAGUGGUAAGGGCUUAGGUUUUGGAACCACUUGCAUUAGAAUCCCAGCUCCGUAUUUAUCUCCACCAUUUACCAGCCAUGUGACCUUGGCAAAUUACUUAACCUCUCUGAGCCUCAGUUAUCGCCUAUAUGGGAUGGGAAUAACCUUAGGGUCUAUUUCAAGGAUUAUUCGGAGGCCUAAGGUAAUGGGAGGAAUCUGCUUGACAUGUAGAAAGCUCUCAGUACAGCAUAGAUAUUAUUAUUAUUCCUCUGCUAGACUACAAAAUCUCUGAGGGCAGGGACCUCUUCUUGGAUAUCUUUGAACCCCUCCAUAACAGUGGGCAAAGUGUCUGUCAGAGGGUUUUAAUGAAUGCAUCACACAAAAGAGACCGUACUGAACAAGAGAGACAGGAAGCUUGGAUAAUUAUUUGAAUAUCUACAGUCAUCAGAAGGCUUAUAAAUGUAAAGCCAAAGCUCCUGCCAAAGAAAUGUGUGGAGCAGAAAAGAAAACCCAGAGCAGAAUGUCAAGAGCAAGGAUGUGUUGGGACAGGAAAUGAAGACGAGAUUGGGAGAGGUCAUGCAGAAUCAGGUCACAUUCUGGAGGGAAGAAGGAGCAAAGGCACAUGAUGAGAGAGUGCUAAUUAAGGUGGCCAAAGAGAACAGUGUGGUGCUGUAAAUGCCGGCAGAGCAAGGAGCCCUGCUGCCAGCCUGACCCAACACAGUCACGUUGAUGAAAAUGGAAAAGGAUGGCUGGAGGUAAUGAUAAUGUAUUACAGAUUGCAAAAUCGCUAGAAGAGAGGGUUUUGAAUGUUCUCAUCCCAAAGAAAUAAUAAAUGUUUAAGGUGCUGGAUGUGUUAAUUACCUUGAUUCGAUCAUUACACAAUGUACACUUGUACUGAAACAUCACAUUGUACCCCAUAAGUAUGUGCAAUCAUGUCAAUCAUAAAUUUAAAAAUUAAAUUUUUUAAAAAAGGAAAAACAAUCUUUCCACCACACAAAUCAUUUUCUGAGCCUGCACAUUGGCAUUCAUCUUUCCUCCUACGCUUGUGGCCUUAAAGAGGAGGAGUAUGAUUGGCAGCGUGGCAGCCUCUCGAUAUUUACGGACCCUAGCGCUCACUCCUGGCUUCAAUGGUGUUUUCAGCUGGAGCCUCUUCCUGCCAUUCCUUUCCUCUCUGCAUGGCUGCUGAUGCUCAUCCGGGAGCAGGAAAUGAGUGCAUUCUUGGGCUUUUCUGCAAUUAGUCUUCUAAAGAGAAAAACAAAACCAAACAAGAAAGAAAACUGAAGGUUUAGGGAUAUUCUAAAAACUUUUACAGGCUGGCCAUUGAUGGAGGCCAGUAAAGAACGGUGGAGGCUGGCGACUCAGCCCCUCUGGAUUGGGGGUUUGUGGGAAUUUAUCUCGGG